Molecule: transfer RNA, 69 nt
Filed under: Dipodomys ordii (Ord's kangaroo rat)
Lineage: Eukaryota; Metazoa; Chordata; Mammalia; Rodentia; Heteromyidae
Rfam family: tRNA
About the family: Transfer RNA (tRNA) molecules are approximately 80 nucleotides in length. Their secondary structure includes four short double-helical elements and three loops (D, anti-codon, and T loops). Further hydrogen bonds mediate the characteristic L-shaped molecular structure. tRNAs have two regions of fundamental functional importance: the anti-codon, which is responsible for specific mRNA codon recognition, and the 3' end, to which the tRNAs corresponding amino acid is attached (by aminoacyl-tRNA synthetases). tRNAs cope with the degeneracy of the genetic code in two manners: having more than one tRNA (with a specific anti-codon) for a particular amino acid; and 'wobble' base-pairing, i.e. permitting non-standard base-pairing at the 3rd anti-codon position.
Source: Rfam by way of RNAcentral
GGGAAUGUAGCUCAGUGGUAGAGUGCUUGCCUAGCAUGCAUGAAGUCCUGGGUUUGAUUCCUAGUACCA